CAGACAGUUAAUUAGACAGACAGACAGACAGGUGGCUCAGAAGCAGGAGUAGUGUCUCAGAGUAAUGUGUAUUGAAAGGCAGUGAGUCUAAAAGGUAUAUCAGUAUUUGCGUGAGGAAAGUUCUGGUGUUCGGGUCCUGGUGCUCGGGUUCCUGGUGCUCGGGGUCCUGGUGUUCGGGUCCCUGGUGUUCGGGUCCUGGUGUUCGGGCUCCUGGUGUUCGGGCUCCUGGUGCUCGGGCUCCUGGUGCUCGGGCUCCUGGUGCUCGGGGUCCUGGUGUUCGGGUCCUGGUGUUCGGGUCCUGGUGCUCGGGCUCCUGGUGCUCGGGGUCCUGGUGCUCGGGGUCCUGGUGCUCGGGGUCCUGGUGUUCGGGUCCUGGUGCUCGGGCUCCUGGUGUUCGGGUCCUGGUGUUCAGGUUAUGCAGAUGCUUCAGUGGAUUUUCUGAGCUCCACAUUCAGACAGUGAAAAUCACCUGCGUGUAGUUGACAAUUCUGAGGCUUUUCCUGAGUAGAAGAGUCUGAGACAGGUGUCUAGACCACCGUCUCUAUUUAUAUUGUUCCCUG
Molecule: long non-coding RNA, 560 nt
Organism: Ictalurus punctatus (channel catfish)
Lineage: Eukaryota; Metazoa; Chordata; Actinopteri; Siluriformes; Ictaluridae
Source: Ensembl